CUACUCCCACUACUCCCACUACAUCCACCUACACCCACUCUUUCCACCCACUUUACACUUCACUCUCGGCUCUCACUAAAUCUCUCUCUAUACUCUCUUUUCCUCCAUUGAUGUCCAUUGAAGAAAGCUUAGAGAAGCUUCAUCAAACACUACUAUGAGAUAAUCCACCAUCCAAUCCAAUCAAAUACUAUCAUAUCUCAUCAAAUUCAAGAAGCUAGAGCUAAGAUCAAAGUUGGAGCAAAGUCUUGAUCACCUUUUAAAUCCUUGAGCUUUGUGAUGACCAGGAGGAUUAGCGCUACUUUUCCAAGACAGGUUUAUAUGUGUAUGAUCUUCAGGCUUUGCCUAUCCAGGUUGGCUGGCUGGUGCUGACGGGACGGAGCUGAGGCUAGAGUUAAAAUUCAUAUGUUAGACUUCCGCUGUAGCAAUUACUCUUAUACAUCUUUUGUUUUCUCAACUUAAGAUGACUUCAUGUCGAGCUUAAAUUUGAAAUUCUAGUUUUAUGCUAAUGAAUGUUGGUUGUCAGAAACAUGAAACAAAACUUGUGAUCCAAAGGGGCAUAGCCCGACUUUCUAUCCUAUUUUGGGUUUUAACGAGGUA
Salvia miltiorrhiza (redroot sage) is the source of this 597-nucleotide long non-coding RNA. RefSeq lists it as uncharacterized. The record is from RefSeq and is a predicted model, not a curated record. NCBI's taxonomy places the organism in Eukaryota, Viridiplantae, Streptophyta, Magnoliopsida, Lamiales, Lamiaceae. The transcript is spliced from 3 exons.